GAUGAACGCUGGCGGCGUGCCCAAUACAUGCAAGUCGAGCGAACGGACGAGAAGCUUGCUUCUCUGAUGUUAGCGGCGGACGGGUGAGUAACACGUGGAUAAUCUACCUAUAAGACUGGGAUAACUUCGGGAAACCGGAGCUAAUACCGGAUAAUAUUUUGAACCGCAUGGUUCAAAAGUGAAAGACGGUCUUGCUGUCACUUAUAGAUGGAUCCGCGCUGCAUUAGCUAGUUGGUAAGGUAACGGCUUACCAAGGCAACGAUGCAUAGCCGACCUGAGAGGGUGAUCGGCCACACUGGAACUGAGACACGGUCCAGACUCCUACGGGAGGCAGCAGUAGGGAAUCUUCCGCAAUGGGCGAAAGCCUGACGGAGCAACGCCGCGUGAGUGAUGAAGGUCUUCGGAUCGUAAAACUCUGUUAUUAGGGAAGAACAUAUGUGUAAGUAACUGUGCACAUCUUGACGGUACCUAAUCAGAAAGCCACGGCUAACUACGUG
Molecule: ribosomal RNA, 497 nt
Filed under: uncultured bacterium
Lineage: Bacteria
Description: partial 16S ribosomal RNA
Rfam family: Bacterial small subunit ribosomal RNA
Source: RNAcentral